Molecule: long non-coding RNA, 910 nt
Organism: Populus euphratica (Euphrates poplar)
Lineage: Eukaryota; Viridiplantae; Streptophyta; Magnoliopsida; Malpighiales; Salicaceae
Exons: 3
Source: RefSeq, a predicted model, not a curated record
ACACAUACAUUCAUCCAUGCAUUAAUACUUAAUAUAUCAACAUAUAAUUCAGAUAUUUCAUAUAAUAUAUGCUUUAGCACCAGGGAAGACAAAUAUCACGAAGGCACAUGCAAACAUAUCCACAAUCUCAAUAUUGCCAGUUCAUGUUAUUUGUUUUAUUCUCUCAUAAUAUAUACACAUUACCAGCAAAAAAGAUACAACUACUUAUUAAUUCUUUAUCAGUUUGCUUUUACUGCAAAAGGGUAAAAGGAUAGUUUAAGAAAAGAACAGAAAACAGUAAUUCUAUUAAACCAGAUCAAGCAAUAUUUAGUUCCAGUAAAUCUCCAAGUCAUAAAAAAAAGUUCAAACAAUACAAGCUUGCCAGUAUCAAAGGAAUAUCAAGAUGCAUGUCUGUUUAUAUGUAUUCGUGAAGAGGAGAUUGCUUGAAAAUGAGUUUCUUCAAAAGAGAAUAUUAGUAUGAGAACAAACAAUUUCUUACAACAUGUGUUUUGCCAACAAGUUCAAAAUGGUUGUCAUUAUCUUGAAAAAAAUGAUAAUUUAAUUUUCACACUUUUAAACACAGUAUUUACUGGAAUAGAUUUCCUGUAUAUUUACAUGAAGAAAGAUUUGCAUCAAAUUGACUUGAGAUCGCCAUUUUAUCCAUUGUCAUCCUGAAGAUUUAUCUUGUACAGAUAGAUCUAUAUCUUUAUUUUGGGAAUGGCAUGGAGUUUGAAUUUGAGUAAUGCUAGGGUACUAAAACUUUUGAAAAAAAAUGUAUUACUUCAUGAUGUGGUGUUUUUUGAUAGGGAAAGUUUUUUCAAAUUAUGAAAUGUAUGUCUUAUCACAUACAAUGACACAAUCACAAUUAUAGGAUGAAGUAAUUAAUAAAAGCCCAAUCACAAGCUGUCAUGCAAUUUAAAAAAAAUAAAUU